This 497-nucleotide ribosomal RNA is filed under the name uncultured bacterium. RNAcentral describes it as "partial 16S ribosomal RNA". It matches the Rfam family "Bacterial small subunit ribosomal RNA", at positions 28 to 507 of the family's 1533-position model. The record is from RNAcentral.
GAUGAACGCUGGCGGCGUGCCUAAUACAUGCAAGUCGAGCGAACAGACUAGGAGCUUGCUCCUCUGACGUUAGCGGCGGACGGGUGAGUAACACGUGGAUAACCUACCUAUAAGACUGGGAUAACUUCGGGAAACCGGAGCUAAUACCGGAUAAUAUAUUGAACCGCAUGGUUCAAUAGUGAAAGACGGUUUUGCUGUCACUUAUAGAUGGAUCCGCGCCGCAUUAGCUAGUUGGUAAGGUAACGGCUUACCAAGGCAACGAUGCGUAGCCGACCUGAGAGGGUGAUCGGCCACACUGGAACUGAGACACGGUCCAGACUCCUACGGGAGGCAGCAGUAGGGAAUCUUCCGCAAAGGGCGAAAGCCUGACGGAGCAACGCCGCGUGAGUGAUGAAGGUCUUCGGAUCGUAAAACUCUGUUAUUAGGGAAGAACAAAUGUGUAAGUAACUAUGCACGUCUUGACGGUACCUAAUCAGAAAGCCACGGCUAACUACGUG